CUCGCCGCCGGGGCGUGUACCUGGGGCCCUUUUCGAGAGGGUCAGGUUCGAAAAAGUGAACACCCCGCGACUGAUCAUUUCAGCCCGGUAAGU
Molecule: transfer RNA, 93 nt
Filed under: Corallococcus macrosporus DSM 14697
Lineage: Bacteria; Pseudomonadati; Myxococcota; Myxococcia; Myxococcales; Myxococcaceae
Description: Myxococcus macrosporus DSM 14697 tRNA-Arg
Source: RNAcentral